GACGAACGCUGGCGGCGUGCUUAACACAUGCAAGUCGAACGGAAAGGCCCUGCUUUUGUGGGGUGCUCGAGUGGCGAACGGGUGAGUAACACGUGAGUAACCUGCCCUUGACUUUGGGAUAACUUCAGGAAACUGGGGCUAAUACCGGAUAGGAGCUCCUGCUGCAUGGUGGGGGUUGGAAAGUUUCGGCGGUUGGGGAUGGACUCGCGGCUUAUCAGCUUGUUGGUGGGGUAGUGGCUUACCAAGGCUUUGACGGGUAGCCGGCCUGAGAGGGUGACCGGCCACAUUGGGACUGAGCUACGGCCCAGCCUCCUACGGGAGGCAGCAGUGGGGAGUAUUGCACAAUGGGCGGAAGCCUGAUGCAGCAACGCCGCGUGCGGGAUGACGGCCUUCGGGUUGUAAACCGCUUUCGCCUGUGACGAAGCGUGAGUGACGGUAAUGGGUAAAGAAGCACCGGCUAACUACGUG
RNAcentral lists this ribosomal RNA (468 nucleotides) under uncultured bacterium. RNAcentral describes it as "partial 16S ribosomal RNA". It matches the Rfam family "Bacterial small subunit ribosomal RNA", at positions 28 to 507 of the family's 1533-position model. The record is from RNAcentral.